This 465-nucleotide ribosomal RNA is filed under the name uncultured bacterium. RNAcentral describes it as "bacterial SSU rRNA". It matches the Rfam family "Bacterial small subunit ribosomal RNA", at positions 917 to 1382 of the family's 1533-position model. The record is from RNAcentral.
GGGCCCGCACAAGCGGUGGAUGAUGUGGUUUAAUUCGAUGCAACGCGAAAAACCUUACCUACCCUUGACAUGCCAGGAACGCUCCAGAAAUGGGGCGGUGCCCGAAAGGGAACCUGGACACAGGUGCUGCAUGGCUGUCGUCAGCUCGUGUCGUGAGAUGUUGGGUUAAGUCCCGCAACGAGCGCAACCCUUGUCAUUAGUUGCUACAUUCAGUUGAGCACUCUAAUGAGACUGCCGGUGACAAACCGGAGGAAGGUGGGGAUGACGUCAAGUCCUCAUGGCCCUUAUGGGUAGGGCUACACACGUCAUACAAUGGCGCGUACAGAGGGUUGCCAACCCGUGAGGGGGAGCCAAUCCCAGAAAGCGCGUCGUAGUCCGGAUUGAAGUCUGCAACUCGACUUCAUGAAGUCGGAAUCGCUAGUAAUCGCGGAUCAGCAUGUCGCGGUGAAUACGUUCCCGGGCCUU